Dermochelys coriacea (leatherback sea turtle) is the source of this 1785-nucleotide long non-coding RNA. RefSeq lists it as uncharacterized. The record is from RefSeq and is a predicted model, not a curated record. The transcript has 2 exons. Lineage: Eukaryota; Metazoa; Chordata; Testudines; Dermochelyidae.
UAUUUACAUUAAUUCUUAUGGGGAAAUUGGAUUCGCUUAACAUUGUUUCACUUAAAGUCGCAUUUUUCAGGAACAUAACUACAAUGUUAAGCGAGGAGUUACUGUACAAUCAUUAGCACACAGUGAUGGGAGUUGAGAGCUCUAAAUCAAACUCUAUCCUUUUUUUAUUUGCUGUAACACAUGAGUCUGAGUGUGGAUCCAGGGCCUACACAGGUCUUCCUCUUUUAUAUGCACUCCAACUUCCCAGGGAAGGUCAAUGCCCUUGCCACAUUCCCAACUACAAAUACUUGUUCAGAAAUUACAGGGAGUUUAAAACUACAAUCAAUUAAUUAAAAUAUUUAUUCUACUUUAGGAUAGACAGACACCCUCUGCAGGCACAGCGUUGUGUGUGCACCCAGCACGUUAGGAUUCUCAUACCUUGGGCUGAAAACAGAGGCAGCGCAUUCAGUUUCAGCAAGGAUAAGGGAGCACCUUUCCCCAGAUGGAGGAGCAUACUCCAUUUAAGCACAGCCAUUGUGAGACUAUCCCCUGAAAAUUCACAUGGAGGAUGAGAUAUCCUACAAAUUUCCAGUCAGUAUCUUUUGAAUGAUUCCAUCUGAGUGAGGGUCAUCUCCCUCCCUUCCAGUCACAGAAGCUAAAACCAUCGCUCAAGGGUCCUGUGUGGCAAGGCCAGGGUACAGCCUCCAAUCCUAGUCACUCCCUACAUUCUUGAAUCCUCUCUGUUGCACAGUGAACCCUCCAUGUAAGAAUGCUGAUGAGUUCAGCACUCUUAUUCAUUCUCCCAGGACUGAAGAUGAAGUUAUGCUGGAGAACAUCUGAGCUUCCAACACUAGUUCUGCCUCUCCUCAUCUGCAGAGGCUAAUCUCCACAGAGGCUGCAUGGGGAAUCAGGAAGACAAAUCUGCCCUUUGUACAUUGCAGGCAACAUUUGCUACAUCUGGAUCAUCUGUGUUUGUGGAAAAAUAGGAGACAGCCUAGACUUUUUUAAUAAUGGCCAUCAAGGUGUUACAGCUACUAAGAGUGAGAACUGAAAGACUACAUUUGCUUAAGAUUUAUGAAGAAAUUCCAUUGUUAUGUAUCUAGGAUUUUUGUACAGCCCCAUGUAGCUGUCUACCACACCUGCCCUCUUCUAGUAACUUUGUCUAAGUUUGAAUUUGGUUUCAAACUUCAUAAGGAGCCCAUCUCUCUAUCAUAAGCAGAAUCAGAGAGUAGGUUUGAAUACCCUAGAACAGCAAGUUAGUUAAAUUGGGAACCUAACUUUGAGGCUUGGGUCAGAUUUCUAAUUAUUACCAAUUUUUAUUUUACCCUUCUUUUCCUGUUCUAGUUUAUACAUGAGCUGUAUUUUAUUGUAUUCUUUUCUAUUUUCAGAUUGUGCAAAAUGCCGUUUCCCCUUCAAGCAGUUUUACAUAAGUGUAAAUGUUGUUUCUUCAUUUAAAGUAUUGGCACUAGACUAGAGGAGUACAUUAAGAUUUAUCUUAGACUCCAUCAGUUGGCAUAUAGGUAUGCAUUGUAUAAAAAGUUAAUUAUUUUUAAAGAAGAGCAACAAAAUCCUUGAUCCCAAAGGGAUCACUUAGAGAGAACCCUGUAACAAGGUGCUUACAAAAGACACCUCGAAUUGGAAGCAUCACUGUCUUUUAGUUAUCCAGGAGACCAGUUGACCCUUUUCACUAACACCCAGAUAUUCUAGCCUUAAAAAGGUGCAAUGGACAUUUCAAAUGACUCCAGUCAAUCAAGAGUUUGGUUUUAAAAUGACAGUUUCCUAUAACUAUACAAGAAGGUGUGUGUU